Molecule: non-coding RNA, 22 nt
Filed under: Arabidopsis thaliana (thale cress)
Lineage: Eukaryota; Viridiplantae; Streptophyta; Magnoliopsida; Brassicales; Brassicaceae
Source: RNAcentral
UGACUGUCAUCAUUAGGUGUGU